UGGACAGAACUGUGCUUGGGUGGAAGC
RNAcentral lists this non-coding RNA (27 nucleotides) under Mus musculus (house mouse). Lineage: Eukaryota; Metazoa; Chordata; Mammalia; Rodentia; Muridae. The record is from RNAcentral.